GACGAACGCUGGCGGCGUGCUUAACACAUGCAAGUCGAACGGAAAGGCCCUGCUUUUGUGGGGUGCUCGAGUGGCGAACGGGUGAGUAACACGUGAGUAACCUGCCCUUGACUUUGGGAUAACUUCAGGAAACUGGUGCUAAUACCGGAUAGGAGCUCCUGCUGCAUGGUGGGGGUUGGAAAGUUUCGGCGGUUGGGGAUGGACUCGCGGCUUAUCAGCUUGUUGGUGGGGUAGUGGCUUACCAAGGCUUUGACGGGUAGUCGGCCGGAGAGGGUGACCGGCCACAUGGGGACUGAGAGACGACCCAGACUCCUACGUGAGGCAGCAGUGGGGAAUAUAGCACAAUGGGCGGAAGCAUGAUGCAGCAACGCCGCGCGCGGGAUGACGGCAUUCGGGUUGUAAACCGCUUUCGCCUGUGACGAAGAGUGAGUGACGGUAAUGUGUAAAGAAGCACCGGCUAACUACGUG
Molecule: ribosomal RNA, 468 nt
Filed under: uncultured bacterium
Lineage: Bacteria
Description: partial 16S ribosomal RNA
Rfam family: Bacterial small subunit ribosomal RNA
Source: RNAcentral